AUGCGGCAGAUCUCGUCGAUGCUGCAGGACCUGGCCCGUUCCAUGUCUCUGGGAAAGGAGAGGAAGGUGGAGGAGGAGCACCAGGGGACGGUGCUGCGGUCGUCGGGGACGCUCUGGGGCGAGGGCUCCGAGACGUUCGCCGCCGCGUGCUCCCGCCGCGGCGAGAAGGGCACCAACCAGGACACCUCCAUCGUAUGGGAGGUGAGUUUGCCGCUACUCUGCUUCUUCCCUGCUUGCUCUCUGUUGCAUGCGAAUGAUUUUUUACGCUGGUUAUCACAACAUAUUACCGGUGGCGUGUAG
This 300-nucleotide ribosomal RNA is filed under the name Triticum aestivum (bread wheat). RNAcentral describes it as "partial small subunit ribosomal RNA". The record is from RNAcentral. Lineage: Eukaryota; Viridiplantae; Streptophyta; Magnoliopsida; Poales; Poaceae.